Molecule: signal recognition particle RNA, 89 nt
Filed under: Halomonas halophila
Lineage: Bacteria; Pseudomonadati; Pseudomonadota; Gammaproteobacteria; Oceanospirillales; Halomonadaceae
Also listed under: 2 other names
Description: Bacterial small signal recognition particle RNA
Rfam family: Bacterial small signal recognition particle RNA
About the family: The signal recognition particle (SRP) is a universally conserved ribonucleoprotein involved in the co-translational targeting of proteins to membranes.
Source: RNAcentral
CGGUCCUCCCGCAACGCUAGACCGCAAACCCCGCCAGGCCCGGAAGGGAGCAACGGUAGUGGUGGACGCGUGUGCCGGGAUGUGGCUGU